Molecule: ribosomal RNA, 268 nt
Filed under: uncultured Oscillospiraceae bacterium
Lineage: Bacteria; Bacillati; Bacillota; Clostridia; Eubacteriales; Oscillospiraceae
Description: partial 16S ribosomal RNA
Rfam family: Bacterial small subunit ribosomal RNA
Source: RNAcentral
ACAAGGACUUCGGUUCUUGUUCUAGCGGCGGACGGGUGAGUAACGCGUGAGCAAUCUGUCCCUCACAGGGGGAUAACACUUGGAAACGACUGCUAAUACCGCAUAAUGUAUUCUGACCGCAUGAUCGGAAUACCAAAGAUUUAUUGCUGAAAGAUGGCCUCGCGUCUGAUUAGCUAGUUGGUGAGGUAACGGCCCACCAAGGCGACGAUCAGUAGCCGGACUGAGAGGUUGAACGGCCACAUUGGGACUGAGAUACGGCCCAGACUCC